Non-coding RNA from Pelobates cultripes (western spadefoot toad), 92 nucleotides. Lineage: Eukaryota; Metazoa; Chordata; Amphibia; Anura; Pelobatidae. The record is from the annotation of a GenBank genome assembly.
UGAAAUUGGGAGCAGUGCUGCACUCAGACCGCCUGUCUGCCUCUGAAGAUAAACUCCAGAGGCAGACAGGCGGUCUGAGUGCAGCACUGCUC